GAAGUCAAAUUGAGGAUUCAAUUGGCGUUUUUAUUAUGAUAACUUUAACUUAUCAUAGGGUUUUGGAAAGCUUGAGGAAUCAGCGUUAAAGACCUAAGCAUAAAUUUAAAAAAUAUUAAAAUUAAAAUAGCGACCUCACUUAGAGUUGAAUUAGAGAGCUCGUUUUUUGGGAAGAUUUUAUUUCUCGGCAACCACUGACGCCUGAGGACGCCAUAUGUAUAUUUGAAUACAUGUCACAUAUAUCCAGAUAUAUAUUUUUUUCAUAUUGGUGCUUUAUCAAUACUAAUGUGAUGUAAUAUGACCAUGUUACUAGUCACAAGGUUGUUGGGUCAUUUCAUGAAAAACAAAUAAAUGUUCAAAAAAAACUUAACCUUUCUAUGAUGAUCUUUAGUUAUUUUGUACAACGCAAUGACAUAAAUAACACGAGCUUACAUAAAUAAAUAUAGUGGGGACAGUUAAUAUAAAUUGCCAUUUAAAUUAUUACUAAUCCAUAAAGUAAUUGGUCAAAGUAUCGAUAGCUUCUGAAUAAACUAUAGCAGAAGAUUUACUCAACUACUGCUAUAAGAAAUGUUCAACAUGAAGAUAUUUUUGUUGGCAGUUUUGCUAGUGGCUUUGUUUGCUGCCGAAACUUCUGCAUGCCUUCCAAACGGCAGCGCGUGCAUGUCAUAUGGUGUGGCAUGUUGUCAAGGUUGGUGUAAUACUCUGGGGAGUAGCUUUGGGGCAUGUAUGUAAUAAAUUACCUUGAAUUAACUUUGGAUUUCAAAAUUUGAUUUGAAAAUAAACAAUAAAAAAAUUCUACGGCAUAACAAAUUUGUAUUACAAGCUUCUGAAUAUUUUUUAUCCUAAAAAUUUAUUGAACCUGUAUUUUUGAAGAUGUUCUGUAUUUUAUUUUAAAUAUUAGAAAAUAAAUUUGAUUUAAACAAAA
This is a long non-coding RNA of Microplitis mediator, 925 nucleotides long. RefSeq lists it as uncharacterized. The record is from RefSeq and is a predicted model, not a curated record. The transcript is spliced from 5 exons. NCBI's taxonomy places the organism in Eukaryota, Metazoa, Arthropoda, Insecta, Hymenoptera, Braconidae.